UUUUAAAUUGAGAGUUUGAUCCUGGCUCAGGACGAACGCUGGCGGCGUGCCUAACACAUGCAAGUCGAGCGAUGAAACUUCCUUCGGGAAGUGGAUUAGCGGCGGACGGGUGAGUAACACGUGGGUAACCUGCCUCAAAGAGUGGGAUAGCCUCCCGAAAGGGAGAUUAAUACCGCAUAACAUUAUUUUAUGGCAUCAUAAAAUAAUCAAAGGAGCAAUCCGCUUUGAGAUGGACCCGCGGCGCAUUAGCUAGUUGGUGAGGUAACGGCUCACCAAGGCAACGAUGCGU
Molecule: ribosomal RNA, 289 nt
Filed under: Clostridium botulinum C/D str. DC5
Lineage: Bacteria; Bacillati; Bacillota; Clostridia; Eubacteriales; Clostridiaceae
Description: partial 16S ribosomal RNA
Rfam family: Bacterial small subunit ribosomal RNA
Source: RNAcentral